UACGUAGGGUGCAAGCGUUGUCCGGAAUUAUUGGGCGUAAAGAGCUCGUAGGCGGUCUGUCGCGUCGGCUGUGAAAUCCCGAGGCUCAACCUCGGGUCUGCAGUCGAUACGGGCAAACUAGAGUAUUGCAGGGGAGACUGGAAUUCCUGGUGUAGCGGUGAAAUGCGCAGAUAUCAGGAGGAACACCGGUGGCGAAGGCGGGUCUCUGGGCAAUAACUGACGCUGAGGAGCGAGAGCGUGGGGAGCGAACAGG
RNAcentral lists this ribosomal RNA (253 nucleotides) under uncultured bacterium. RNAcentral describes it as "partial 16S ribosomal RNA". It matches the Rfam family "Bacterial small subunit ribosomal RNA", at positions 524 to 776 of the family's 1533-position model. The record is from RNAcentral.